Long non-coding RNA from Ictalurus punctatus (channel catfish), 874 nucleotides. The record is from Ensembl. Lineage: Eukaryota; Metazoa; Chordata; Actinopteri; Siluriformes; Ictaluridae.
CCGAGUGUGCGUUAAGUAGUGUUUGCGUUCCUCUGUGCUCAUUGAUGAGGGUCAGAAGGUCACGGGGUUAAUUGCAGUUUUAUACACUAAGUGGACAAUUAGAGGGCAUUUUAGUCGGCUUAGCUUUGAGUUUCAGGUAUCAGUGAGAGGGGGGUUGGGUUUGGCGUUCAGGGGUCAAAGAAGAUUAGCACAAAUUGCCAUUUUCACACCCUGUUCGAGGUGCAUUGGGAAAAUCCAUUAUUGAAGGUGGCGGUAAUGUACAAUUUAGCACAGAAGAAGACGAGAAGGGGGGAAUGAAGGAAGAAGAGUGUUAAUGGUGUUUACUGCUCAUCUGGAGAGAUGCCGCCAUCUUGCUGCAGGAGGUUAGAAGAUGAUGACGACUUCCUGUGUGUGUGUGUGUUGUGUGUGUCAGUUUAAGUCGUUAUCAGUGUGCGUGAACAUCACCAGCAGAAUUUACUCUCAUGUGCGACUGUCUUUGGCAUCCAGUAAUGCCUCCACACCUGUACUCGGUCAGAGCUGUGCCAUAGCCACGCCCACAAACAGGUGUCUACGUACAUCACAACGCCUCUGUCUCCUGUAACGCACGCCGGUGCAGUGGAACGUCCUGGUGAGCAACGACGUCCUCAUGUCUGCCGUCUCAGCGUUCACGUCCAUGAACCCACCCCACCCGUGUGUCACUCGGGUAGAUCCUUCGUUUGUCUGGCACUGUUACACCAACGGGAAUCUCAGGAGUCGCAGCAUCUCUGCAUGCUCCUAAUCGGUCUCUCCUGCAAUCAAGGUCAUCCAGAGUUGAAGCUGGAGGAUUAAAAGCUCUAUCCACUAGGGGGCAAACCAGCGUGGAAUCAUUCCUCACCGGCAUCGACCUACUUUGACC